Molecule: ribosomal RNA, 440 nt
Filed under: uncultured bacterium
Lineage: Bacteria
Description: partial 16S ribosomal RNA
Rfam family: Bacterial small subunit ribosomal RNA
Source: RNAcentral
CCUACGGGAGGCAGCAGUGGGGAAUAUUGCACAAUGGGGGAAACCCUGAUGCAGCGACGCCGCGUGAGUGAAGAAGUAUUUCGGUACGUAAAGCUCUAUCAGCAGGGAAGAAAAUGACGGUACCUGACUAAGAAGCCCCGGCUAACGACGUCCCAGCAGCCGCGGUAAUACGUAGGGGGCAAGCGUUAGGCGGUUUUACUGGGUGUAAAGGGAGCGUAGACGGCAGCGCAAGUCUGGAGUGAAAUCCACUUGCUUAACCAUGGAACUGCUUUGGAAACUGUGAAGCUAGAGUGCAGGAGAGGUAAGCGGAAUUCCUAGUGUAGCGGUGAAAUGCGUAGAUAUUAGGAGGAACACCAGUGGCGAAGGCGGCUUACUGGACUGUAACUGACGUUGAGGCUCGAAAGCGUGGGGAGCAAACAGGAUUAGAUACCCCUGUAGUC